CUGCAAACGGUUAACAUUAAUUUGUUAAGAAAGCUAGUGGUAGAAUCAGGAAAAAAAAAAAACAUAGUACAUCUUAUAAAUAGGUCUGAAAUAUGCUUCGGGUAAGAAAAUAUUUCAUUUAUUAAUAUAAUACUUUAUGAUAACAACAUUAAAUACAACUUAGCAUAGUGAUUAAAACUUUAGUAUAUAUACUUGAGGUCUUGAGAUCAAACCAUAUACUAUGCAAUUUCUUAAUUUUUUAAUUUUACUGUACAUGGAUUACAUGAAUUAAAACUCACUCGGAGAGCACCACGUGACACAGUUUCUUGUUUUAGCACGUCUUUUAAUAUAUUUGUAUAAAUUAGUACAUCUUGUAAAAAAAAGUAUAUUUCACUUAAAAUACACUACUUUUCUGUAUACUACUUUUUUUGCUAUAGAUACCACUUAAUUAAAUCUUAAACUAACCGCGGUAAUUGAUGGUAACAAUUUUUCUUUCUUUGCAUUUUUUAAUUAUCAUUUUAUUUCUUAUUUACAAAAAUGCUAGACUUGAAGUAACAGCAUAUUUAAUUUUCCCUUCACAUUUUAAACAGAUCAUUUCAAAUAAUUGUAAUAGAGCUAUCCGCUGCUGAAGUUACCAUUAUAAAAUGGACUUAAUCUAAUCUUGUGUCCUAAUCACAAUAAGGAAAAAUUAACCUGAUCAAUUUAUUAUUAACCGCGUCCAAUAAAACUCUUAUAUCGCAAGAUGGUCCAAAGUGCAAUGAAAUUAAACCUUUGUGGUCGUGCUCAUAAUGUUGUUUCCUUCUAAUUUCGUUAGUGCUUGUGCUUCCUUGAGUCAAUGGAACGUCAUAUUUGACGACGAUUUUCUAGGAAAAAUAUAUUGUAUGUGCACCUUUUUGACAUAGUCCUCGUGUUAUCCGGUAGGUCGUAGGUGUUAAUUAUGUAAGAAGAGUUUUGAACAGGAAAUUGCUCUUGUCCCGAGCGGUACGUCCUGUAUUAUUUAUCAACAUAUAUUUGAAGUUUUUCAAUAUAGAAAUAGUAUCUUGUUUUUAGAUGAUUUUUCUCUCACAAAGACCAACAUGAGUAUUGUAACAUAGUUAGUGCAUUAGCAUAUCACUUCCCUUGCAACAGCUCAGCAGAGCCCUUUUUCUCCUUCUGCGAUUCGGUCUCUAACUUCACUUUCCCUUAGCCUAUCAGCGAGCCACAUUGCUGCUGAUCCAAGCCAUGUCUCGUUCCCUCCUCUUCCUUGUCUCUUAUCCAUCCCACCCAACCAAUCACUCUAUGCGCAAUCGUUCCCAAUCCGACAUUUUCAAGCCCAAUUCUAAGUAGGUUAGCCUUGCUCUUGUCACUUCCUCCACUCCUCACAUUUCUCCUCUUCCUCGUUCUCUUUUACGUGCCUUUAAUGAGCAUAGCUGGUAUAACGCCAUGUGUAAUGAAUAUAAUGCCAAGAUUGACACUCAUACUUGGGAUUUGGUUCUGAGUCCUACGGAUGCUACUAAUGUUCGUUGCUAAUGGGUUUUUACUCAUAAGGAGAAACCGGAUGUACUUUUGAACGAUAUAAGGCUCAUUUAGUGGUUAAUGGUAAAAGUGAGGAGGUUGGGUGGAUUGUGGUGAGACAUUUAGUCCGGUGGUGUGCCCUACUAUGAUUUGUAUUGUGUUGAGUUUGAUAGUCUCUAGACACUGGUUUAUUGAUUAGUUGGAUGUGAAGAAUGCAUUUCUUCACGGUGAUCUUGAGGAGAUGAUUUACAUGCAUCAACCUCUUGGGUUUGUUCAUCAUGACAAGCCUAAGCAUGUGUGUCUUCUUCUAAAGUCUUUUUAUGGUCUGAAACAGGCCCAUGUCUGGUACCAUUGAUUUACGACUUAUAUUCUCUCUUUGGGUUUUUAGAACAACAAGUAUGAUACAUUUCUGUUUAUUUUCAUACGGGGUUCGCAACUGCUUAUCAUCUUCUCUAUGUUGAUGACAUCAUCCUUACUUGUUCGUCUGAUGCUCUCUGGAUAUCAUUGCUAUACUUAGUUUGGAGUUUGCGAUGAAGGAUCUUGGUCCUUUAUCUUAUUUCCUUUGUAUUUCUGUCUCUCGUAUCAAGGACAACGGAAAUAUGCUAUGGAAAUUCUUGCUCGUACUGAUAUGUUCUCUUAGAUAUUCUCCACUUUCAUGCUCUUAAGCGUACAAUUCGAUAUCUUAAGGGUACUGUUGACUAUGGCAUGCACUUAUCCUCGGCUCCUACUAAGGGUCUUGUCUCCUAUACUGAUGCUGACUGAUCAGGCGGGUGUCCUGAUACUCGUCGAUCUACCUCGAGUUACUGUGUGAUUUGGGUGAUAAUCUUAUUUCCAGGUCUUCAAAAAGACAGGCUACUUUGUCUUGGUCUAAUGUCGAUGCAGAGUGUCGAGGUGUGGCUAAUGUUGUUGUCGAGACGGCUUCGAUCCGUAAUCUCUUACUUGAACUUCAUUGUCCACUGAAGCGAGCUACAAUGGUGUAUUUUGAUAAUAUUAGUGUUGUUUAUAUGUCUCGUAACCCAGUGUAACAUUAACACACUAAGCAUAUGGAGAUGGACAUUCAUCUUGUUCAUGAGAA
Long non-coding RNA from Beta vulgaris subsp. vulgaris (sugar beet), 2548 nucleotides. RefSeq lists it as uncharacterized. NCBI's taxonomy places the organism in Eukaryota, Viridiplantae, Streptophyta, Magnoliopsida, Caryophyllales, Amaranthaceae. The record is from RefSeq and is a predicted model, not a curated record. The transcript has 2 exons.